AGGGGGCGAGCGUUAUCCGGAUUUAUUGGGCGUAAAGAGUGCGUAGGCGGUCAAGCAAGUUCUCCGUCAAAGCCCGGGGCCCAACCCCGGAACUGCGGAGAAUACUGCUUGGCUAGAGGGAGGUAGGGGCUGUCGGAACUUGGGGAGGAGGGGUGAAAUCCUAUGAUCCCCCAAGGAACACCGAAGGCGAAGGCAGACAGCUGGGCCUCUCCUGACGCUGAGACACGAAAGCUAGGGGAGCAAAACGGAUUAGAUACCCGUGUAGUCCUAGCCGUAAACGAUCCUCGCUAGAUUUUGGCAUCUGUCAGAGUCGAAGCUAACGCAUUAAGCGAGGCGCCUGGGGAGUACGGCCGCAAGGCUAAAACUCAAAGGAAUUGACGGGGACCCGCACAAGCGGUGGAGCGUGUGGUUUAAUUCGAUGAUAACCGUAGGACCUUACCAGGGCUUGACAUGCAGGUGGUAGUGAACCGAAAGGGGAACGACCCGCAAGGGAGCCUGCACAGGUGUUGCAUGGCUGUCGUCAGCUCGUGCCGUGAGGUGUACGCUUAAGUGCCGAAACGAGCGCAACCCCCACUCUAUGUUAGAAAUGUCAUAGGGAACUGCCUCCGUAAGGGGGAGGAAGGUGGGGACGACGUCAAGUCAGUAUGGCCCUUAUGCCCUGGGCCACACACACGCUACAAUGGCGGCUAUAACAGGUUGCGAAGCCGUAAGGCAGAGCUAAUCCCUAAAAGCCGGCCAGGUUCGGAUUGCGGGCUGCAACUCGCCCGCAUGAAGUUGGAAUCGCUAGUAAUGGCCGGUCAGCUAUACGGCCGUGAAUACGUUCUCGGGUCUUGUACACACCGCCCGUCAGUUGAGGAAAGUUGGAGCCAUCCGAA
RNAcentral lists this ribosomal RNA (875 nucleotides) under uncultured bacterium. RNAcentral's name for it is "bacterial SSU rRNA". It matches the Rfam family "Bacterial small subunit ribosomal RNA", at positions 529 to 1425 of the family's 1533-position model. The record is from RNAcentral.